AGUGAACGCUGGCGGUAGGCCUAACACAUGCAAGUCGAACGGCAGCACAGUAAGAGCUUGCUCUUACGGGUGGCGAGUGGCGGACGGGUGAGGAAUACAUCGGAAUCUACUUUUUCGUGGGGGAUAACGUAGGGAAACUUACGCUAAUACCGCAUACGACCUACGGGUGAAAGCAGGGGAUCUUCGGACCUUGCGCGAUUGAAUGAGCCGAUGUCGGAUUAGCUAGUUGGCGGGGUAAAGGCCCACCAAGGCGACGAUCCGUAGCUGGUCUGAGAGGAUGAUCAGCCGCACUGGAACUGAGACACGGUCCAGACUCCUACGGGAGGCAGCAGUGGGGAAUAUUGGACAAUGGGCGCAAGCCUGAUCCAGCCAUACCGCGUGGGUGAAGAAGGCCUUCGGGUUGUAAAGCCCUUUUGUUGGGAAAGAAAAGCAGCAGGUUAAUACCCAGCUGUUCUGACGGUACCCAAAGAAUAAGCACCGGCUAACUUCGUG
RNAcentral lists this ribosomal RNA (492 nucleotides) under uncultured bacterium. Its description in RNAcentral is "partial 16S ribosomal RNA". It matches the Rfam family "Bacterial small subunit ribosomal RNA", at positions 29 to 507 of the family's 1533-position model. The record is from RNAcentral.